AGUGAACGCUGGCGGUAGGCCUAACACAUGCAGGUCGAACGGCAGCACAGUAAGAGCUUGCUCUUACGGGUGGCGAGUGGCGGACGGGUGAGGAAUACAUCGGAAUCUACUUUUUCGUGGGGGAUAACGUAGGGAAACUUACGCUAAUACCGCAUACGACCUACGGGUGAAAGCAGGGGAUCUUCGGACCUUGCGCGAUUGAAUGAGCCGAUGUCGGAUUAGCUAGUUGGCGGGGUAAAGGCCCACCAAGGCGACGAUCCGUAGCUGGUCUGAGAGGAUGAUGGGCCAACGGGGAACGGGGACACGGCCCAGACUCCUAGGGGAGGCAGAAGUGGGGAAUUUUGGAAAAUGGGGGCAAGCCUGAUCCAGCCAUACCGGGGGGGUGAAGAAGGCCUUCGGGUUGGAAAGCCCUUUUGUUGGGAAAAAAAAGCAGCAGGUUAAUACCCCGCUGUUCUGACGGUACCAAAAGAAUAAGCACCGGCAAACUUCGU
Molecule: ribosomal RNA, 491 nt
Filed under: uncultured bacterium
Lineage: Bacteria
Description: partial 16S ribosomal RNA
Rfam family: Bacterial small subunit ribosomal RNA
Source: RNAcentral